Molecule: ribosomal RNA, 499 nt
Filed under: uncultured bacterium
Lineage: Bacteria
Description: partial 16S ribosomal RNA
Rfam family: Bacterial small subunit ribosomal RNA
Source: RNAcentral
AUUGAACGCUGGCGGAAUGCUUUACACAUGCAAGUCGAACGGCAGCACGGACUUCGGUCUGGUGGCGAGUGGCGAACGGGUGAGUAAUAUAUCGGAACGUGCCCAGUCGUGGGGGAUAACGCAGUGAAAAUUACGCUAAUACCGCAUACGAUCUAAGGAUGAAAGCGGGGGAUAGCAAGACCUCGCGCGAUUGGAGCGGCCGAUAUCCGAUUAGGUAGUAGGUAGGGUAAAGGCCUACCAAGCCAACGAUCUGGAGCUGGUCUGAGAGGACGACCAGCCACACUGGAACUGAGACACGGUCCAGACUCCUACGGGGGGCAGCAGUGGGGAAUUUUGGACAAUGGGCGAAAGCCUGAUCCAGCCAUUCCGCGUGCAGGAUGAAGGCCCUCGGGUUGUAAACUGCUUUUGUACAGAACGAAAAGGUCUCUACUAAUACUAGGGGCACAUGACGGUACUGUAAGAAUAAGCACGGGCUAACUACGUGCCAGCAGCCGCCGAA